RNAcentral lists this long non-coding RNA (2850 nucleotides) under Nicotiana benthamiana. Its description in RNAcentral is "long non-coding RNA (NBEN_LNC010069)". The record is from RNAcentral. Lineage: Eukaryota; Viridiplantae; Streptophyta; Magnoliopsida; Solanales; Solanaceae.
UUGCUGCUAUUUUUACUUGCUGAGCUCCUUAUUAUACUGAAAUAAAGAUGAAAAGCUAACUGCUAAACCUAUCAAUUGUGAGUUACAAGAUACAUAUCUAUAAACCUUCGAAAUCUUGAUCGGGAGUCUUGGUUAGUUCUUCCCACAAACUCUGACCUGAACCUUGAUAAUUGUUAAUUAUGGCUGCUGAUUCAUUCUUCUUCAGCUUUUCGGAUCGAGGCUGGACUUGGAAAGCUUGUGACAUCAAUCACGUCUUGAGCAGUCCAUAUCUUUUCAUUGUUUUCGCUCUUUGAGUUCAACUUCUUUCUUUAUUCUUCCUUCCUCUUCUUUUGGUCAUCUCAAACCAUGUGCCUCAUGGUAAAAACAUUUUCAAGCACCAAAGCAAACAAAAGAACGAAAUUUUCUGCCCUAGUUUUCACAAGAAAAAUUUCGUGAGUUAUUUGUAACAAAAUCUAAACUAUUUCUUUAUUGAAAGCAAUAAAAUUCGGAUAAAGUAUCCUUGGAAAAAGGAGAUUACGGAGUGGAGCACUAUGUGUAUAAUGAAAUCACCUAGGGAGUGGAGACCCUAUGUUGGAAAAGAGACCAGUGAAUGGAGACCCUAUAUCUAAACUAAAAUCAACUAGGAAGUGGAGACUCUAUAUUAGAAAAGCGACUAGGGAGUGGAGAUCCUAUGUCUAAAAUAAAAUAAACUAGGGAGUGGAGACCCAAUGUUGGAAAAGCGACUAGGGAGUGUAGAUCCUAUGUCUAAAAUAAAAUCAACUACAUAAUGGAGACCCAAUAUUGGUAAAGCGACUUGGGAGUGGAGACCCUAUGUCUAAAAUGACUUCAACUAGGGAGUGGACACCCCAUGUUGGAAAAGGACUAGGGAGUAGACCCUAUGUCUAAAAUAAAAUCAACUAGGGAGUAGAGACCCUAUGUUGGAAAAAUGACUAGGGAGUGGAGACCCUUUGUCUAAAAUAACUUCAACUAGGGAGUGGUGACCCUGCGUUGGAAAAGCGAUUAGGGAGUGGAGACCCUAUGUCUAAAAUAAAAUUAACUAGAGAGUGGAGAAACUAUGUUGGAAAAGCGAUUAGGGAGUGGUGACCCUAGGUCUUAAACAAAAUCAACUAGGGAGUGGAGACCCUAUGUUGGAAAAGCAACUAGGGAGUGGAGACCCUAUGUCUAAAAUUACUUCAACUAGGGAGUGGAGACCCGAUGUUGGAAAAGCGACUAGGGAGUGUUACACCUCCUUUUUACUUACACAUGGCUACCCCGAAGGAUGACACGUGUAUAGGAGUUUUUCCAAUUAAAGUGACUUCGAAAUGGGAUUAAUCUUUUAUUCAAGAGUCGCCACUUGGAAUAAGUUUGACUUUUGGUGUCUCAAGUCACCGAUUUAUUUAAAAUUCCAAAUCCAGGAUAUUUUGACUGCCCAAAGGAGUCUGCGAACCAGAAAUUCUAAGUAAGGAAUUCUGUUGACCCGAGGAAGCUAUUAGGGACCCUCGGUUCCCGUGGUUCUAGCAAGGUCGCUUAAACUCUUAUAAUUGGCUAACAAUUCUGAUUUUGUACAUGUUCCACCUAUAGUGUAAUUUUAAAUUUUAAACCGCUUUAACUUAAUUGAUUAAAGAAAGAUUGCAACACUAUACAAAUAUGUCUCGAAUCGCGUCACAUAAAUGCGCCCGCGAUCUUCGACAUAUUUUAACAUUGUUGAGAUUUUGGAUUUGGGUCACAUAAAUGCACAUCCGAAUUUACAAUUACGUAUCAUAAUUAGGUCAUGGGGACCGUACAAUAAUCACAAUAGUUUGAUUUAUUAGGCGCAUGCUUAAAGCAUUUUCAACGAAUGCUUCAAGUGUUGAUUGUUUCGUAUGCACUUGAAUUUAUUUGUAAAAAUCUAAAAGUUUAGGAAGUUUUUCGGAAGGAAAGAAGUGGAUUGAUUAUGUUAGGAGGAUCUAGUUUGUGAAUUGUCAUAAAAACAGGCUAACUCUAAAAUAGAUCAACAAUGUUAUUAUUGAUAUGGGCCUACCAUAAUUUCUGUUUUUUAGCCAAAAUUCUUUUACUCCAAAAUUAAACCCAUAAUCAAUAUGAAAGUCCAAACCUUUAACUUACUCCUUGCAACUUUCCCCAUAUAUUUAUAUUAGAUUAAAAUAUUCUUGCAAAAAAGAAAAAAACAAACUAAAAAUCUAAUCAACGUUUAAACAAAGAAAAAUCAAAAGAAACAGUGGCAUGAUUUCAUGUAAUUAUUAAAUAAGAUAUAAUAACAGUAAAAGAAAGAAGCAACAGUGGGACUCGAACUGAACAUCAAUUCAAACAAUAAUAGGCCUUCUUAAAUGCAUAAAGCUCUAUUUUUAACUUUAAACAAAGAUUCAGUAUAGAAAUGACAAAAUUAAGCAAUAGGAUAUCAUUUAAGCUCAUUCAACUGCUAAACAGAUUCAACAAAGAAAUUAAACAAAAGCGACAUGUAGAGUGAUAUCAAUCAAACGGGGAAUAGAUAAACAGAAGUAGACCUGAAUAGACUUGCGAGAAAAAGAAACGAACAUAAUUGGUGGAAUCCAACAAUCCACAGGAACGGUGACCUCCAAACGGACCUCACAUCUAUUGGGUUUGGAUGGUUCUUUCAAGCUACUUUUCGUGCCGGUUUGGGGUUGAUUAAGGUUUUUUUUAAGCUAGUUUCAAACUAAAAUUUGUGGAGAAUUUUACUUAUUUUUCAGUGAAGAAGCAGUUGAGUUUCUGCUGUUGUGAGGAAUUUCUCAGCUCACUUCCAUGGCUUAGGUAGCUUUGUUGAAAGAGAGAAAGAGCAUCAAUGGGCGUAGGAAAUGGAGCACAAUUUUUUGAGGGUGAGAAUGAAGAGAGACCCCCCUUUUGUGCUAGCUGCUC